GACGAACGCUGGCGGCGUGCCUAAUACAUGCAAGUAGAACGCACAGUUUAUACCGUAGCUUGCUACACCAUAGACUGUGAGUUGCGAACGGGUGAGUAACGCGUAGGUAACCUGCCUGGUAGCGGGGGAUAACUAUUGGAAACGAUAGCUAAUACCGCAUAAUAUUAAUUAUUGCAUGAUAAUUGAUUGAAAGGUGCAAAUGCAUCACUACCAGAUGGACCUGCGUUGUAUUAGCCAGUAGGUGAGGUAACGGCUCACCUAGGCGACGAUACAUAGCCGACCUGAGAGGGUGAUCGGCCACACUGGGACUGAGACACGGCCCAGACUCCUACGGGAGGCAGCAGUAGGGAAUCUUCGGCAAUGGACGAAAGUCUGACCGAGCAACGCCGCGUGAGUGAAGAAGGUUUUCGGAUCGUAAAGCUCUGUUGUAAGAGAAGAACGGGUGUGAGAGUGGAAAGUUCACACUGUGACGGUAUCUUACCAGAAAGGGACGGCUAACUACGUGCCAGCAGCCGCGGUAAUACGUAGGUCCCGAGCGUUGUCCGGAUUUAUUGGGCGUAAAGCGAGCGCAGGCGGUUAGAUAAGUCUGAAGUUAAAGGCUGUGGCUUAACCAUAGUACGCUUUGGAAACUGUUUAACUUGAGUGCAGAAGGGGAGAGUGGAAUUCCAUGUGUAGCGGUGAAAUGCGUAGAUAUAUGGAGGAACACCGGUGGCGAAAGCGGCUCUCUGGUCUGUAACUGACGCUGAGGCUCGAAAGCGUGGGGGAGCGAACAGG
RNAcentral lists this ribosomal RNA (774 nucleotides) under uncultured Streptococcus sp. RNAcentral's name for it is "bacterial SSU rRNA". It matches the Rfam family "Bacterial small subunit ribosomal RNA", at positions 28 to 776 of the family's 1533-position model. Lineage: Bacteria; Bacillati; Bacillota; Bacilli; Lactobacillales; Streptococcaceae. The record is from RNAcentral.